GAUGAACGCUGGCGGCGUGCCUAAUACAUGCAAGUCGAGCGAACGGACGAGAAGCUUGCUUCUCUGAUGUUAGCGGCGGACGGGUGAGUAACACGUGGAUAACCUACCUCUAAGACUGGGAUAACUUCGGGAAACCGGAGCUAAUACCGGAUAAUAUUUUGAACCGCAUGGUUCAAAAGUGAAAGACGGUCUUGCUGUCACUUAUAGAUGGAUCCGCGCUGCAUUAGCUAGUUGGUAAGGUAACGGCUUACCAAGGCAACGAUGCAUAGCCGACCUGAGAGGGUGAUCGGCCACACUGGAACUGAGACACGGUCCAGACUCCUACGGGAGGCAGCAGUAGGGAAUCUUCCGCAAUGGGCGAAAGCCUGACGGAGCAAUGCCGCGUGAGUGAUGAAGGUCUUCGGAUCGUAAAACUCUGUUAUUAGGGAAGAACAUAUGUGUAAGUAACUGUACACAUCUUGACGGUACCUAAUCAGAAAGCCACGGCUAACUACGUG
RNAcentral lists this ribosomal RNA (497 nucleotides) under uncultured bacterium. RNAcentral describes it as "partial 16S ribosomal RNA". It matches the Rfam family "Bacterial small subunit ribosomal RNA", at positions 28 to 507 of the family's 1533-position model. The record is from RNAcentral.